CUAUACUUUCUCUCUUUCUCUCUCUAGAUGCCUUAAUGGACCCAAGAAAAGGACCCAACACCUUAUAGAUUGUUUGACCCUUGAAGGGGUCCUGGGCCAAUAUUAUGCGACCAAGGGCUCUGAGCCAGUAUUAAGUAACCAAGGGUCUCAAGUUGGUAUUACAUGGCCUUAGGAAGGGGUCCUGAACCAACCUUGUUAUAAU
RNAcentral lists this long non-coding RNA (202 nucleotides) under Elaeis guineensis (African oil palm). RNAcentral's name for it is "long non-coding RNA (EGUI_LNC041685)". Lineage: Eukaryota; Viridiplantae; Streptophyta; Magnoliopsida; Arecales; Arecaceae. The record is from RNAcentral.